RNAcentral lists this unclassified non-coding RNA (2155 nucleotides) under Hevea brasiliensis (rubber tree). Lineage: Eukaryota; Viridiplantae; Streptophyta; Magnoliopsida; Malpighiales; Euphorbiaceae. The record is from RNAcentral.
CUGUGAGCCAAAGAAUAAAUCAGAAUUUUACAAUGACAUGUAAAGUUGUCACAUUCGACUUCACAAACUCCUUUUGGAACAACUGUUGUUGCAAAUUUAUAUUCGCAAUCAAAAUGCAAUUCUAUAAGAGACCUUUUCUACUUCAAUAAUAAAAACUUUAAUCAAAUCCACAAUACCAAGCAGUAUACAUUAAUGGAGUGCUAAAAAAUGAUCAACCCAAAACAAAAACUAUGACCAUCAUCAUUGGCAAAACUUGAUGAUCUUACGUAAUCUCAAAAGAUUCCAGACCACGCAUUUAGAUUAACGAGACUUAUCUGAACCAUCCUUGAAAUAAAACAAAAGACAAGCAUGGAAUCAGAAAGUCCUUUUAAACGUACCGGGAAAGGAAGGCCCAUUGGGAAACCAGCUUUCAAAGUCUCCAGACAAGGAGUAACAUUAAAGGCAAAACACUGGCUUUGCAUGGCCAGAAACAGCAAUAAUGCUUGCUCUCCAUCUUUUCCUUUAUCAAUUUCUCUCACUUCAAAGACUUUUCCUCACAUGGGGGAAGAAUAUUAAGAGCACCUUUUAACGACAAUCUACCACAAUCACCACCGAUAGAUUAUUAGCAGCAAUACAAUGUCAUACACUGGAGAACAAUCUUGCUUUUAUACACAUGGGCAAGUGACCAAGUGGACAGUCUGAUAAUUACAGAAGACCAUUACCUCUCAGAAACAAGCUGAAGAAUUUUUACCCUGUUAUUAUAGCCUUGUUUUUAUGAAUUGUGGCCAAACAUAAAGCAUGAGACAAUGGAAAUUUAGCACCUAUAAAUUUGCGGGGAAAAAGCAGCAACACUGACUUCUAAUUAUGAAGUUAGGAAAUAAAUUGCAACAGUAUGUGAAAGUGAGGAUAGAAAAUUAACAAGUAUAGCCAGCCAAAUGAAAAGCCACAGCUCAAACUGUAACCGCAGUAGAUACACAAACAAAUGAAGAAGAACAUAAAACUUAGCUUUAUCUGCAACAUACAUAUUACUUUCAUUAACAAACAGACUUGAACGAACAAAACAUCAUGUGGUAAACCAGCUAUCUAUGAACCCAUACGAAAUAAGAAAAGUCUACAAGGAGUGAAUUCACACUAGACUCAUUAUCUAAUCAGAGAAAAUCGCUGUUACUAUCUGCCACCAUUCAGCAAAUUCUCUGCUGUGAAAAAACAUCACUAUCGCAAAAUUGAGUUCCAAAAAAAUAACACAACCAAUUCAAUUCAGAGCAAGGCUAAGGAAAAACCUUAAAUGCGAGAGUACCCAGUGUUCGUGGGGCUCCCCACGACCGAAAACAACCUUCCAUCUCCCACAUCUUGCUCAUCCAAAUACAAAUCGUCCGUUCCUCUAAUUGCAGCGUGUAAGACAACAAUUGCAAGCCCAAUCAAUAUGGAAACCAAAACGUUCAACCACACGCGCGUCAAAACCAAGGCCACAAUAGUGACAACCGCGAGCACGCCUAGCACCACACGAUCAUCAAUCGUGCGGUGGAGAAUAACAAGGGGCUCGUCGCGGAAAAAGUAGAGGAAAAACCAGGCGACGAAGACGAUUAAGAAGACAAUCAUGGACAAUGGAUGCCACAGAAGGCUGAGAAAGAGAAUAAAGAGGAUGAUCAUCGUAUAAUUGACGCGAAAGUAGAAAAGGUUGAGCUUAAUGCGUGCGAUUGCUUCGCCGAAGGAGUAAGGACGCGUGAAGGAGGAGAAUUGGAUGAGCUCGAGCCAUGGGCGGCGCUUGGCGAAGAAAGUGGUAGUGGCGUUGUUGGUGGCGCGUGAGAUGAAGGUGGGAGGAGUGGUGGUUGAGGGUAGGGAGCCGAAGGGGGCCGGAGAAGGUGCAGACAUUGGAGACGGGAAAGCUAAACCCUAUGAGAGAGAGGUACAAGUCCCAAUGUUUUCAGAGUGAGAAGUAGCUUAAGCAUCCCAACUGAAUUUCGUUUGAAGAAAGAGGUCGAGUAUCGCAUCUUCCGAUUUUGAAUCCUUGGUUUGGUUCUCUGGAUUAGAUAUUUCAUCAUAUUUGCAAGUUCCGGGGUUGAAACAGCGUCGUUUCGGACUAGCGCAGGACAUUCCGUCUGAUGAGAAGUUUAGCUGGACUAUGCCAUCAGGAACUCAACAAUUCUAUUGAACUCUCACAAUUCUAAUAUUUCAG